RNAcentral lists this ribosomal RNA (421 nucleotides) under Fusobacteriota bacterium. RNAcentral describes it as "Fusobacteria bacterium partial 16S ribosomal RNA". It matches the Rfam family "Bacterial small subunit ribosomal RNA", at positions 355 to 776 of the family's 1533-position model. Lineage: Bacteria; Fusobacteriati; Fusobacteriota. The record is from RNAcentral.
UGGGGAAUAUUGCACAAUGGACGGAAGUUUGAUGCAGCGACGCCGCGUGGAGGGUGUAGGCCUUCGGGUUGUGAACUCCUUUUUCUCGCGAAAAAGGCACAGUUUUGGCUGUGUUGAUGGUAGUGGGGGAAGAAGCGCCGGCUAACUACGUGCCACCAGCCGCGGUAAUACGUAGGGCGCGAGCGUUGUCCGGAUUUAUUGGGCGUAAAGAGCUCGUAGGUGGUUCGUCGCGUCUGUCGUGAAAGCCAGCAGCUUAACUGUUGGUCUGCGGUGGGUACGGGCGGGCUUGAGUGCGGUAGGGGUGACUGGAAUUCCUGGUGUAGCGGUGGAAUGCGCAGAUAUCAGGAGGAACACCGAUGGCGAAGGCAGGUCACUGGGCCGUUACUGACACUGAGGGGCGAAAGCGUGGGGAGCGAACAGG